RNAcentral lists this ribosomal RNA (245 nucleotides) under uncultured bacterium. RNAcentral describes it as "partial 16S ribosomal RNA". It matches the Rfam family "Bacterial small subunit ribosomal RNA", at positions 104 to 334 of the family's 1533-position model. The record is from RNAcentral.
CGGUAGGGCGGGACCGGGGGGGGAGUAAUGUCUGGGAAACGUCUCGAUGGAGGGGGAUAACUACUGGAAACGGUAGCUAAUACCGCAUAACGUCGCAAGACCAAAGAGGGGGACCUUCGGGCCUCUUGCCAUCGGAUGUGCCCAGAUGGGAUUAGCUAGUAGGUGGGGUAACGGCUCACCUAGGCGACGAUCCCUAGCUGGUCUGAGAGGAUGACCAGCCACACUGGAACUGAGACACGGUCCAG